ACUUCUCUUUCAAAGAUGGACUGGGGAAAGACAUUAAGUUCGGAGCAGCCCAAGGCUGCGGAUCUAGCCUUUCUCCCUCCGGUCUCCAGACCCACGCAGGUUAAGGCAGCCAAGCAGAGACAGCGGAGCCCCGGUGCGUGGUUCAGGCCUGGUCAACAGGUAGGAGGGCCAGACUGGGGGCCAGGCACAGAGGAGGGCAGGCCCGCCCGCACCGGCGUCCAGGGUCCCAGGUUCCGGGUCCCGGGACUGGAGGAGGUCGCCGGCAGCCCGCCCUUCCAGAGGCUUGAGAUUGGGUGGACGAGACCUGAAGAUCCUCUCGGUCUGGACCCCGACUUUCGAUCUGCUUAGAGACCUAAGCCGCGAGCCUUUGCCCACACGGAGAAACGUACUAUCUAAUAUCUAACAACCCUGUACUGCAGUGUCUGGAGGUUGCGGGAAGGAGACAGUGUCUCCAUUUGGGAAAACUACUGAGGACUUCCGUAUAUCCUACUUCUUCUGGACUCCAUAAGUUACAGGACCGAAGGAAACUGAGAAAUAGAGAAAAGGUGCCGCUUGCCCCUUUAACUCCAGAAAAGGGUGGCUGCAGAUGGAGCAGCUUGGACUUUGUUUUUUACGUUGCGCGAAGCCCGCCGGCAGCGGCUUAUGCCAAUUGAUUUUCCCAGCUCCCAGCCCUGGAUGUCUAGCUAUCUCCAGGACAGUUUGUUUUUUUCUUUUUCUGUCUUUCUUUCUUUCCUUCAAUGUAUCAGAAGACCUGAAGCUCGCUGCCCGCGAGUUUCCUCCGAGUUCCCAGUUGCUGAGACAAAGGAAAACCCACUCCCUUGGAGGAGCAUGACCUUUUCCUGUAAUUCUUCCCACUGCUGUUGUUGAGCUCCUUGGACCAUGGCUCCUGGACACCAUCAUCAAGAAGACUUUAUGGAUGGGCUGUCCACCCACUGAGAGAAGAGGAGCAUCAGCUACAGUUUCUCUCUAGAUUGCCUUCUUCAUUUUGAGUAAUGACUGUCAGCAGGGUCAGAUUAAAGACAAAACAACUGGACAAUUGCUUGGAGGACUAAACUAUAAGGGCACUAACAUAUCAAUAGUAUGCUAACACAUCCAUGGAAAAUAUAUUUACCAGCUCUUCUCUCAGGGAGGAUUCUGUGUGGGGUUGGAAGUAAUGAUUUGUUAAAUUCCUUAGGGGUAGAAAGUAGGGCAUAAUCAGAAUAUAGAGGAAUAGGCUGUUUGACUUCAGGGUUUCUGUUUUUCUUACUAGGAUAUAUAAAACAGGGACUCUAGCUAGAUUGUUUAUGACCACAGAGGGUAGGCUGAGCGCUCUCAUGAUCUUCCUGCUUGGUUCUUGCCCAUACAGAGGUCAGCCUUUCCUCUAAUAAAGAUUGAACAAGUAGUGGUCUGAGGGAGACACCAACUCAUUACCCUACAUGUCUCUUCUCUGCACUCCAGGGCUUUGAUAAUAAAGACACUGGCAGACUAUCUAUCUUCCAUUUCUAUAAUGUGAGCCCUUAGGGAGUCUUCGUUCACUUGGGGGUGAGGGUCAUUGCUCACAGAGUAGUUCAAGUCAAAUGGAACUUGAACUCUUUGCCUAUGGGCCUGGUGGUCAGACUCUGUGUUGAGUUCAUUAGAUUAUUGGAGACACAAGGUAGAGCUGGAUGCUUCAAAAAUAUUUGGCUAAAGGAUGACAUUGCUGGUUAUUUGUAGAUAAAGCCAUGAUGGAACCUGCUUGGAAUCAUGAAAUAUGGAACUGGUGGUCAUGUUUAAAAAUACAACUAAUAGUUAAGUACCUACUGGACACUGUAGAGACUUAGGGGCUAGACAGACAUGGUUCCUGCCCCCAUGGAGCUUACACUGUAGCUUCCCCUUAGGUAUGAAGAACAGUGGCUACAACUAACAAAUGGCCACAAAGAUAUAAUUGAGCCAGUGUUCCAAUUAUUAGGGUAAUUCCUAUUUCCUUAAUCAUGCCUAUUGACCAUGUUCUAUAAGCCUGCAUUCUAUAAAUGGCCUAUGACCAUGGGCUGUUUCCCCCCAGCAAGUUGUACAAAGUUCUGUGGUACCAGGGAAAGGGCUUAAGGUUAGCAGGGCCUCUGGGGAAGGACAUAUGAAGUGACUUGGGUUAGGAAACAGGAAGGGAUAGGAUUCAAGAACAGCUAUUGCUUCUGUUCUAUAUAGGAAACUGCAGCGUGAAAAAUGCUGGGCUGGGAAUUUUGAGACCUGGGUUUUAGUUUGUGUUCUAAUACUAACAAGCUAUGUGACUGUGGUUAAGUCAUUUCACAUUCCAUUUGGAUGCCUCUUGAGUGACUCCAGGCCUCUCCAGCUCUAAAACAUUGAGAUCAGGCCCUACGCUACAGCUGGCCAGUGUGUAGUUCUUCUGUUUCUAUGCUGUUAGGUCAAAUAGAUCUUCAAUAGUUACUUGAUUGUUAUUACUUUUUUCUGAAGUGGGUGUUUUAUCAGUGUUUUAGGAUACAGUGAGUCUGCUUCUCCCCUUUGGAGUUAGGAAGGUUGUAGGAAUAUACACUGUAGAGCAUAUGGGAGCUUUAUCUCCUCCUUUUUCCCCCCCUACCUUUCUCCCUCUCCUUCCCUUCGUCACAUUUCUAUUGAGCAUAUGCCAUUGCCGUGUACCAGGUGUGUGCUAGGUUUGGAGAUACAAGGUAAACUUGAGACUUUCCCAGCCUCCAGGAGACAAAACCCUAAUUUCUUUCAUCUGCUGUCUUUCUCUUUGGAAAGAAUCAACGAUAUCCCAGGGGAAUGUGCCCAUGUCCCAGGGUAACCAACUACAGACAGAUGCCCCAUUCUACUCAAGCAACUUUUAGAGUGCCUUGAGAUACACAUCAGAUAAUUAUGCAGGGCCAGGCAUGGUGGUGCACACUUGUAAUCACAGCACUUUGGGAGGCCGAGGCAGCAGAUUGCUUGAGCCCAGGAAUUCAAGUGUAGCCUAGGGAACAUGGCAAAACCCCAGCUCUACAAAAAAAUACACAAAUUAGCUGCGUGUGGUGGCCUAUGACAGGAGGCUGAGAUGGGAGGAUUGCUUGAGCCUGUGAGGUCGAGGCUGCAGUGAGCCGAGAUCAUGCCAUUGCACUCCAGCCUGGGUGACAUAGGGAGACCCUGUCUUGAAAAAAAAAAAAAAAAAAAGAUAAUUAUUCAGCCCUAGAGUCAUUGUGAAAAGAUCUAUCUUCAGAUAUAAGGAAGAAACAAUCUUUUAUUUCUUAGGAUAAAUCUGUAGAAGGACCUCCAGACAGUGAAGGCCACUGACUACUUUACACUCUGUAAGCCAUCCCUCCCUGGUAGGAAGGACUAUUUCCAAUCUUACAGAGUACCUCUCAGCAAAUAGACGUUUUCACAUAUACUGUGAUUCAUACAUCCCUAUGGCUGGUGACCUCUUUAAAAAGGAAAGGAAAAAGCCUAAUCAAACAAAAAGAUUCUUUUUUUUACAAUAUUACAAUUGUAAUUACAAUAGUAAUUCUUACCCUAUUGUGAAUCCUAUAUAAGCAAAUUUGUAUCUUUGUUUUUUCCCACAUUAGCAGAUCUAUUUGAUGUAUAUCUCUGAGUGCAGAAAAUAUUUUAUGGAAAAAUCAAUAUAUGGAAUUUCAAAUUCAGAAUUGCUGAUACACACUAUUUGGUUUCAGAAUUUUAUCCUAGGAAAUAGUAUUAGAGAUUUCAAUUUCUGGCUUAAAUGGUAGAAUUAAUUACUCUUAACUCUUAAUUUUACUUCUGAGUUGAGGUCAAGGAACAGGCAGACACCUCCAGUUAACGUCUAUACCUCUCCAUGGCCAAGAGUUUUAAUUUUCUCGUCUUCAGUUUUGUAGAUGUACAUCAUUACUAAAUGGAUUGAUUAGUAUUUUAUCUCCUCUCCUUGUCCUUACUUUCCCUCUGGUAAAUAUGUUAUAAACAGUGUAAGGCUCCUAAGAUAGAGUAGCUGGUAGGACUUAGAAGAGAAACAAAGGGCACUGAUAACUCACAUAAAUGGAAAAUUGGCUCUGGAAUAACUGACAACAUAUUCAAGUAUUUUAGUGCAGUGUCAUUCUCAUUAAGAAGAAGAGAACCAGUAAAUCUAUGUGACUCUAAACAUUCUAAUGAAAAAAGGAAUAUUCUGCCAAUUAUCUCACAUUUCUAAAUAUCUGGAUAUUGGCCAUCAUAAAGACAAAACAUACAGAUGAUGGACUUGUCUUUCCACCUCUCAUUUGCAUGGUUUGGAGCAUUGUACCUCCAGCCAUUGACUCUAAGGCAAUUUAUAUUUGCUUCCUCUUCCCUCUUGAGAGAAAACGAAAAUCUUAUUUUUCCAAGCAAUUAAAACUCUUCUGCUUCAGCUAGGAUGAAAGAAUUAGGAGUUCUGUCUCUUUGUAUCUAAUUGCAUGUUUCAUCUUUCUUGUUUUAAUGAUUGACAGAAAACUAAUAAACUGAGACAUCUUUGAAUCCAGGUUGAAUGUA
RNAcentral lists this non-coding RNA (4416 nucleotides) under Pan troglodytes (chimpanzee). The record is from RNAcentral. Lineage: Eukaryota; Metazoa; Chordata; Mammalia; Primates; Hominidae.